GACGAACGCUGGCGGCGUGCUUAACACAUGCAAGUCGAACGGAAAGGCCUUUUCGGAGGUACUCGAGUGGCGAACGGGUGAGUAACACGUGGGUGAUCUGCCCUGCACUCUGGGAUAAGCCUGGGAAACUGGGUCUAAUACCGGAUAGGACCGCACUUUAGUGUGUGUGGUGGAAAGUUUUUUCGGUGUAGGAUGAGCCCGCGGCCUAUCAGCUUGUUGGUGGGGUAAUGGCCUACCAAGGCGGCGGCGGGUAGCCGGACUGAGAGGUUGGUCGGCCACAUUGGGACUGAGAUACGGCCCAGACUCCUACGGGAGGCAGCAGUGGGGAAUAUUGCACAAUGGGCGCAAGCCUGAUGCAGCGACGCCGCGGGGGGGAUGACGGCCUUCGGGUUGUAAACUCCUUUCGCCAGGGACGAAGCGUUUUGUGACGGUACCUGGAGAAGAAGCACCGGCUAACUACGUG
Molecule: ribosomal RNA, 463 nt
Filed under: uncultured bacterium
Lineage: Bacteria
Description: partial 16S ribosomal RNA
Rfam family: Bacterial small subunit ribosomal RNA
Source: RNAcentral